UGCCAGCAGCCGCGGUAACACGGGGGGCGCAAGCGUUAUUCGGAAUUAUUGGGCGUAAGGCGCGCGUAGGUGGAUUGGUCAGUCAGAUGUGAAAGCCCCGGGCUCAACCUGGGAACUGCACCUGAUACUGCCAGUCUUGAGUACAGUAGAGGGCAGUGGAAUUUCCUGUGUAGCGGUGAAAUGCGUAGAUAUAGGAAGGAACACCAGUGGCGAAGGCGACUGCCUGGACUGAUAUUGACGCUGAGGUGCGAAAGCGUGGGGAGCAAACAGGAUUAGAUA
Molecule: ribosomal RNA, 279 nt
Filed under: uncultured bacterium
Lineage: Bacteria
Description: partial 16S ribosomal RNA
Rfam family: Bacterial small subunit ribosomal RNA
Source: RNAcentral